GAAUUGUCUCAUUAAAAACCUGCCAUACACAAUGAUUAGGCCAGAAUCAGUCAACUUGUCAUCUUGAGAUUCCACUGCAUUUAGAAUCAAUUUCAAUGCAAUUAGUGGAUAAAGCCAAGUCAGCACCUUUCUUAGCCUAAAUGCUUCAGCACCCGGAGGAAGCUUAUAACCCAAAGAAACACCUGAAAUAUCUGCUACAAAAGCACCAUGAUCAUCUCCCACAACCGCCCCAUAUGACACUUUACCCUCCUCCCUUGAGUAGCUGCAUCUAUAUUACAUUUUGUCCUCGCAUUCCGUGGCUUUGUCCACGCUAACAGACUUCGAGCAACACUUUCCCUGUGCGUCGGUUGCAUGGUAUUCUCCUUCACAGAUUUCCAUUCAUUCAAGAAGUUGAGAGCCGAAGAGAUGAUUCCAUGAGGGGUUCGGCCCUGUCCUUGCUACAACAGACGAUUCCUAUCGUUCCACAGGUUCCACAGCACAGCCAACCUU
RNAcentral lists this unclassified non-coding RNA (489 nucleotides) under Hevea brasiliensis (rubber tree). The record is from RNAcentral. Lineage: Eukaryota; Viridiplantae; Streptophyta; Magnoliopsida; Malpighiales; Euphorbiaceae.